RNAcentral lists this ribosomal RNA (421 nucleotides) under uncultured bacterium. RNAcentral's name for it is "bacterial SSU rRNA". It matches the Rfam family "Bacterial small subunit ribosomal RNA", at positions 508 to 927 of the family's 1533-position model. The record is from RNAcentral.
ACAGCAGCCGCGGUAAUACGGAGGUUGCAAGCGUUGUUCGGAAUGACUGGGCGUAAAGGGAGCGCAGGCGGCUUGUUAAGUCUGGAGUGAAAGCCCGGGGCUCAACCCCGGCGGGUCUUCGGAUACUGGCAAGCUUGAGUACGGAAGAGGAGAGCGGAAUUCCAGGUGUAGCGGUGAAAUGCGUAGAUAUCUGGAGGAACACCGGUGGCGAAAGCGGCUCUCUGGUCCGAUACUGACGCUCAGGCUCGAAAGCGUGGGGAGCAAACGGGAUUAGAUACCCCGGUAGUCCACGCCGUAAACGUUGUGCGCUAGGUGUAGGAGGUAUCGACCCCUCCUGUGCCGCAGCUAACGCAUUAAGCGCACCGCCUGGGGAGUACGCCCGCAAGGGUGAAACUCAAAGGAAUUGACGGGGGCCCGCACA